RNAcentral lists this ribosomal RNA (465 nucleotides) under Vreelandella stevensii. Its description in RNAcentral is "partial 16S ribosomal RNA". It matches the Rfam family "Bacterial small subunit ribosomal RNA", at positions 338 to 795 of the family's 1533-position model. The record is from RNAcentral. Lineage: Bacteria; Pseudomonadati; Pseudomonadota; Gammaproteobacteria; Oceanospirillales; Halomonadaceae.
CCUACGGGAGGCAGCAGUGGGGAAUAUUGGACAAUGGGGGCAACCCUGAUCCAGCCAUGUCGCGUGUGUGAAGAAGGCCCUCGGGUUUUAAAGCACUUUCAGGGAGGAAGAACGCCUGGUGGUUAAUACCCAUCAGGAAAGACAUCACUCACAGAAGAAGCACCGGCUAACUCCGUGCCAGCAGCCGCGGUAAUACGGAGGGUGCGAGCGUUAAUCGGAAUUACUGGGCGUAAAGCGCGCGUAGGUGGCUUGAUAAGCCGGUUGUGAAAGCCCCGGGCUCAACCUGGGAACGGCAUCCGGAACUGUCAAGCUAGAGUGCAGGAGAGGAAGGUAGAAUUCCCGGUGUAGCGGUGAAAUGCGUAGAGAUCGGGAGGAAUACCAGUGGCGAAGGCGGCCUUCUGGACUGACACUGACACUGAGGUGCGAAAGCGUGGGUAGCAAACAGGAUUAGAUACCCGAGUAGUC